RNAcentral lists this microRNA precursor (60 nucleotides) under Nannospalax galili (Upper Galilee mountains blind mole rat). RNAcentral describes it as "miRNA (ENSNGAG00000004457.1)". Lineage: Eukaryota; Metazoa; Chordata; Mammalia; Rodentia; Spalacidae. The record is from RNAcentral.
GUAUGAGUGUGUGUUUGUGAGUGUGUGCACACACUCACGUGCAUGCACAGAGGCCAGAGG